AACCUCCGCAAUGUGAGAAAUCGCGACGGGGGGAUCCCAAGUGCCAUUCUUAACGGGAUGGCUUUUCAUUAGUGUAAAGAGCUUUUGGAAUAAGAGCUGGGCAAGACCGGUGCCAGCCGCCGCGGUAACACCGGCAGCUCUAGUGGUAGCAAUUUUUAUUGGGCCUAAAGCGUCCGUAGCCGGUUUAAUAAGUCUCUGGUGAAAUCCUGUAGCUUAACUGUGGGAAUUGCUGGAGAUACUAUUAGACUUGAGACCGGGAGAGGUUAGAGGUACUCCCAGGGUAGAGGUGAAAUUCUGUAAUCCUGGGAGGACCGCCUGUUGCGAAGGCGUCUAACUGGAACGGUUCUGACGGUGAGGGACGAAAGUUAGGGGCGCGAACCGGAUUAGAUACCCGGGUAGUCCUAACUGUAAACGAUGCGGACUUGGUGUUGGGGUGGCUUUGAGCUGCUCCAGUGCCGAAGGGAAGCUGUUAAGUCCGCCGCCUGGGAAGUACGGUCGUAAGACUGAAACUUAAAGGAAUU
Molecule: ribosomal RNA, 521 nt
Filed under: uncultured bacterium
Lineage: Bacteria
Description: bacterial SSU rRNA
Rfam family: Archaeal small subunit ribosomal RNA
Source: RNAcentral